This is a long non-coding RNA of Mesocricetus auratus (golden hamster), 1810 nucleotides long. RefSeq lists it as uncharacterized. The transcript has 3 exons. NCBI's taxonomy places the organism in Eukaryota, Metazoa, Chordata, Mammalia, Rodentia, Cricetidae. The record is from RefSeq and is a predicted model, not a curated record.
CAGACCCGAGUAUAAAGCGCAAAACUGUGGAAUCCCCUGCAGGAGAUUGCAGUAGAAAACACGCGUGAGCCCAGGUUGGGCACACUUCAGACCCAGCACCCAAAUCUUAAUCCAGGAAAGAAUCGAUGCACUGGGCUCCAUUAAAAUCAAAGGCUUUUGCUUUGCGAGCCCGCUGUCCCAAGGGAGAAGGAAAGUCGUGGACCAGGAGAACAUGGGUGAGAGGAGACACAGCCGGUAAGACAACAUGAGAUGCCACGAAUCGCCUGUGAAGAGACGGCACCAAAUGUCUAUGUGAACGCAGGGCAUCAGGUACACACAGAUGUGGAUGACAGCCACGUGGUUCUUAGGAGACCAGCUGGACCCCUCCCAUGACUCAGGCUCCUCUGCGUUUACCUGCAAAAGAGCUGGAAACAUCUCCGCACAAGCAAGCUGUGCCCACCACGGUGGCCUAAGCUACUGAAACGAGCAGGCUGAGUCGCACCCCGACAGUGGGUUGUUAGCCACUGAUGAAAGGAGUGAGCACCCGGGCCCUGAGUAGGCGCGUCAGUGAGUGAAAGAAGCUGAUUAGAGGAGACCCCAGACCCCCGGAUUCCAGCUCUGUGACAUUAUGAGAGAAGCAAGGCUGUAGAAAUGGCUUAAGUCGUUUCCAGGGCUUACGGGGUGGGUGGAAUUCAUGGGACGCAGAAGGUGGCUUUUGUGGUAAAGCUAUUCCGAAUGACACCGUAACGGUAGACACGUGCCAAGGGCAUCAUCUAAACCUAUAAAAGUGCAUGCCAAGGAGUUCAUGGGCGUCAACUAUGGACCUUCGACAGCCGGUGAUGGUGUGUGUAGACUCAUCAGCUUCAGCUGAGAGACGGAGAACCUAAGAGACACGAAACUUGAGAUGUUUAUGGUGCCGUGGGACCUGAGGUGACCAAUACUUCGCUUAACAGAAAACCGAGACUAUGAAAACACCUGUGUGGUACAAGUAUCCCUGAUGAAACUAUAUGAUACCUAAGGUCAUUGUGCCCCUUCGUUUCCCACAAGAUUCAUGAGCUGAAGCCUGUUUAGAGAUGUGGUCAUUGCAGAGAUCAUCAAGUAAAAAUUCAACUGGAAGUGUGACAUUUCACCAGGCUGGAAACUAAAGCUGUCACAGAGGGAAGGAAGGUUGUGGCUCCAAUUCAAGAUAUACCAGAGGCAGGGCUUACUUGGCUCUUGAGUGGGAGAGAGGGGACGUAGUGGCUGUUGGCAUGUGGUCAGGGCAGAGAAAGUGGGACCGUGACAGGAGCGAACCUGCACGUCCGUGCCUAGUGGAGCACCACCCACAGUAACCAAGUACAGCCUUGCUGCUCGUCAACCGAUGCAUGGGUGUGUGCACGAUGACAUUUACACGACGGGCUUUGGUUGAGCCAUCAAGAAUGAAACGACGCUAUCUGAAGGAGAACGGAUGGACCUGAAUGUUGUGGGAUAUUACCUUCACUGUGUGAGGAUGGCUGCGUUGGUUUAUGCUUGUGGGACGUUUACUUUAGCCAGGCAAAGAUGUGUUAAACGCUUGUUUAAGCCAGAUUUGCUUAGACUGCGCUUGUUUAACAACUUACAGAUGGGUUGCUUUGCCUGCCUAGGGCACCUGAUUGGUCUGAUAAAAAGCUGCCAACAGCUAGGCAGUAGAGGGGUUAGAUAGGCAGGGCUGGCAGGCAGAGAGAAUAAGUAGGGGGGAAUCAUCUAGACUAGAAAGAGAAUGAGAGCAAGGUAGAAAGAGAGAAGGAUGCCUAGGGCUAGGCAGCCACUAGACAGACAGACAGACAGACAGACAGACAGACAGACAGACAGA